This 344-nucleotide ribosomal RNA is filed under the name uncultured Bacillota bacterium. RNAcentral describes it as "bacterial SSU rRNA". It matches the Rfam family "Bacterial small subunit ribosomal RNA", at positions 28 to 351 of the family's 1533-position model. The record is from RNAcentral. Lineage: Bacteria; Bacillati; Bacillota.
GACGAACGCUGGCGGCGUGCCUAAUACAUGCAAGUCGAACGAGAAUUUUUACACCGAGUGCUUGCACUCACCGUAAGGAAUUCGAGUGGCGGACGGGUGAGUAACACGUGGGUAACCUGCCCAAAGAAGGGAUAACAUUUGGAAACAAUGCUAAUACCGUAUAACCAUGAUGACCGCAUGGUCAUUAUGUAAAAGAUGGUUUUGCUAUCGCUUUUUGGAUGGACCCGCGGCGUAUUAACUAGUUGGUAGGUAACGGCCUACCAAGGUGAUGAUACGUAGCCGAGUUGAGAGACUGAUCGGCCACAAUGGGACUGAGACACGGCCCAUACACCUACGGGAGGCAG